ACCUGCUUGGUGUAAUGUGAGCAUCCCGGCUUCCAAACCCGGUGGUAGGAGUUAAAAUCUUCUAGCAGGUG
This 71-nucleotide transfer RNA is filed under the name Caudoviricetes sp. RNAcentral's name for it is "tRNA-Trp". It matches the Rfam family "tRNA". From Rfam's summary of the family: Transfer RNA (tRNA) molecules are approximately 80 nucleotides in length. Their secondary structure includes four short double-helical elements and three loops (D, anti-codon, and T loops). The record is from RNAcentral. Lineage: Duplodnaviria; Heunggongvirae; Uroviricota; Caudoviricetes.